Molecule: ribosomal RNA, 464 nt
Filed under: uncultured bacterium
Lineage: Bacteria
Description: bacterial SSU rRNA
Rfam family: Bacterial small subunit ribosomal RNA
Source: RNAcentral
AGCGAACGCUGGCGGCAUGCUUAACACAUGCAAGUCGCACGGCGGGGGCAACUCCGUCAGUGGCGGACGGGUGAGUAACGCGUAGGAAUCUAUCCUUGGAAUGGGGGACAACCGUGGGAAACUACGGCUAAUACCGCAUGAUGACUGAGGUCUAAAGGCGCAAGUCGCCAGAGGAGGAGCCUGCGUCCGAUUAGCUAGUUGGUGGGGUAAAGGCCUACCAAGGCUCCGAUCGGUAGCUGGUCUGAGAGGAUGAUCAGCCACAUUGGGACUGAGACACGGCCCAAACUCCUACGGGAGGCAGCAGUGGGGAAUAUUGGACAAUGGGCGCAAGCCUGAUCCAGCAAUGCCGCGUGUGUGAAGAAGGCCUGCGGGUUGUAAAGCACUUUCAGUAGGGAAGAAAAGCCUAAGGUUAAUACCCUUGAGUCUUGACGUUACCUACAGAAGAAGCACCGGCUAACUCCGUG